Molecule: ribosomal RNA, 393 nt
Filed under: Aegla uruguayana complex sp. 6 Arroyo Alcaraz
Lineage: Eukaryota; Metazoa; Arthropoda; Malacostraca; Decapoda; Aeglidae
Also listed under: 9 other names
Description: partial large subunit ribosomal RNA
Source: RNAcentral
UUUUAAUUGAAGACUUGUAUGAAUGGUUGAACGAGAAAAUAACUGUCUCUUUAAAAAAUCUUGAACUUUACUUUUAAGUGAAAAGGCUUAAAUAAUUUUAAGGGACGAUAAGACCCUAUAAAUCUUUAUAUUAAUUUUCUUUAAAUUUCAAAUUAUACAUUAAAAGAAAUAAAAGAAAAAAAUAUUAUAUUGGGGAGAUAAAAAUAUAAUUUUUAACUGUUUUAAAAAUAAAACAAUAAUUUUUGAUUAAAAAAAAAUUGAUCCUUUUUAAAGAUUUAAAGAUUAAGUUACUUUAGGGAUAACAGCGUAAUUUUUUUUGAGAGUUCUUAUCGAAAUAAAAGUUUGCGACCUCGAUGUUGAAUUAAAAUAUCCUUAUAAGUGCAGAAGCUAUAA